UACUACAUUGACGAAAAUCAAAAGGAGGACGAUGGUUUUCGAGCUUUGCAUCUUCAAGAGGACCUAGAACUUCAGGUUUUUAGGAAGAGUAAAGACUUCUUUAGCUUUGGAUAAGUAAUGGAAGAGAAUGUAAAUGGUUUAAGGGCUUUAGGGUUUUGUUUGCUGCUACUCGCGAAACCCAGAAUGAUUAUGCAGACAAAAAGCAGAGUGAGAGACAGCAGGAUGAGUUUUAGCACCAAAGAAAUGGAUUUAUGGCUUGCAGAAUCUUUGUGAUUUGAUUUUCACAGGGUUUCACACUUUUUGCUUCCUCUUCUUUCUCUUAUAGUGCCCUCCAGCAAGAGUGAGAGAGAAGGAGAAUGAGGAGGAAGAAAAGAUAGCGUUUUUGAAAGAAUGGAGCUAACUAGCUACGGGAGGAGACGAAUGCUCACAGUGAGCAGACACAGGUCAGAUUCUCG
Molecule: unclassified non-coding RNA, 455 nt
Filed under: Hevea brasiliensis (rubber tree)
Lineage: Eukaryota; Viridiplantae; Streptophyta; Magnoliopsida; Malpighiales; Euphorbiaceae
Source: RNAcentral